AACACUGGCGGCGCGGAUUAGGCAUGCAAGUCGAACGUGAAAGUUCCCUUCGGGGAACUGGAAAGUGGCGGACGGGACAGUAACGCGUGGGAAACCUACCCUUCAAUGGGGGAUAACACUUCCAACGAGGUGCUAAUACCGCAUACGCCCCCCUGGCCGCAUGGUCGGAGGGGGAAAGGUGGCCUCUGCUUGCAAGCUGCCGUUGAUGGAUGGUCCCGCGUCCCAUUAGCUAGUUGGUAGGGUAACGGCCUACCAAGGCUGCGAUGGGUAGCCGACCUGAGGGGGUGACCGGCGUCACUGGGACUGAGAUACGGCCCAGACUCCUACGGGAGGCAGCAGUCGAGAAGCUUCGGCAAUGGGCGAAAGCCUGACCGAGCGACGCCGCGUGAGCGAUGAAGGCCCUAGUGGUUGUAAAGCUCUGUCAGAUUGGGAAUAAAUGCCGGGGGCGAAUAACCCCCGGAGCUGAAGGUACCAUCAGAGGAAGCACCGGCUAACUCCGUGCCAGCAGCCGCGGUAAUACGGAGGGUGCGAGCGUUGUUCGGAUUCACUGGGUA
This 554-nucleotide ribosomal RNA is filed under the name uncultured Thermus sp. RNAcentral's name for it is "bacterial SSU rRNA". It matches the Rfam family "Bacterial small subunit ribosomal RNA", at positions 32 to 560 of the family's 1533-position model. Lineage: Bacteria; Thermotogati; Deinococcota; Deinococci; Thermales; Thermaceae. The record is from RNAcentral.